This 2463-nucleotide small RNA is filed under the name Pongo abelii (Sumatran orangutan). RNAcentral describes it as "retained intron". Lineage: Eukaryota; Metazoa; Chordata; Mammalia; Primates; Hominidae. The record is from RNAcentral.
AAGUACAGGGGGUAAAAGAAGAAGGUACUGUUUUUUAAAAAGUAAUCUUUUUGUACAUUUAUGUAAUUUGAAUCCACAGUUGUUCUUGACUCCUCUUAUCUUCAUAGACUAAAAUCUUAUCGUGUAAGGUUGCUGUUUCAAAAAAAACACUGAGCUUCAGAAUGAAUUACCAGAUGAUUUAGUUUCUAUAUUUGCUUCAAGGCCAUUUUAAAACCACAUGCCUAUGGUUUUGUUUCUUUUUUUUUCCCCUGAAGCUCAUUUAUAGUCACCUAAUAUCAAUGUAGACAAUAUAUGUUAGCUAGAUUGUUAAUAAUUCCUACUACUUAUAAAAAUCUUGUAUUUUUAAGAUGCUUUGGCAAAAACAAAAACCUAAAAAAAAUUUCAGCUAAACUGUAUUUACUAAAUGCUAUUUGGUUUUGUUUUGUUUUUUUCUUUUUGUUUUUUUUUUUGAGACAGAGUCUCACUGUCUCCAUCACCCAGGCUGGAGUCCAGCUCCCUGCGGCCUGGACCUCCUGGGCUCAAGUGAUCCUCUCACCUCAUCCUUCUGAGUAGCUGGGAAUACAGGUGUAUGCCACCCCACCUGACUAGUUUUUUUAUUUUUUAUUUUUUGUAGAGACGGGGUCUCACUUUAUUGUCCAGGCUAGUCUUGAAUUCCUGGGCUCAAGUGAUCCUCCCACCUCGGCCUCCCAAAGUGCUGGGAUUACAGGCAUGAGCCACCACACCCAGCCACUACAUUCUAUUUGAAUCUGUUUAAUAUUACCCUUGAUUCAGUAAAUAUAGCAUGUCUCACUGGCCACUCAGCACACUGGAGUUUGUUUUAGGGUUCUUUUGGAGCAGGUCCUCUUUUGAAUAUCAUUGCUAAGAGAUUGUGACAUUUGUAGUUUUUAGGUGCUGAGAUUUAAGCCCAUCUCAUUUUUAAAAGAUAAUACAUUAGAUAAAUAGCAAUGUCGAUAAAUUAGAUUAUAAUUCUCUCCAAUCUAAAUUUUCUUCUUUCUUCAUCUGCAGAUAAGUGACUUUUCAAAUAGGGAAGAAAUGCUUUUGUAAAUAUUCAUCCAAUGCAAUCCUUACAACCUUCUGUCCACUGACCUGCCAAUAUAAGCAAGGACCAAUACCUUAACAUUUCUAGAAAUUGGUCUUGAAUAUGCAUCAUGAUAUUUGGAUUAAAUUUUAUCUAGUAAAUCUAAAUUUUAUUAUGUGUUAAGUAAAGUUCCUGUGUUUAUGUUUUUCAAAAUUUUGAUUGUACUACUGAGAAAGUGGUUAUUAAAAUAUUAAAGCUGCCUUCCAUUCUUAAUCUCUUCUGAUGAAGGAAAUUAAGAAAAGCAGCCCAUUUGGAAGUACAUAGGGAAGGAGAUGGUUCUAGUACCACAGAUAACACACAAGAGGGAGCAGUUCAGAACCACGGUACAAGCACCUCUCACAGCGUUGGCACUGUCUUCAGAGAUCUCUGGCAUGCUGCUUUCUUUUUAUCAGGAUCAAAGAAAGCAAAGAAUUCAAUUGAUAAAUCAACUGAAACUGACAAUGGCUAUGUAUCCCUUGAUGGGAAAAAGACUGUUAAAAGCAGUGAAGAUGGAAUACAAAACCAUGAACCUCAGUGUGAAACUAUUCGACCAGAAGAGACAGCCUGGAACACAGGAACACUGAGGAAUGGUCCUAGCAAAGAUACCCAGAGGACAAUAACAAAUGUCUCUGAUGAAGUCUCCAGUGAGGAAGGUCCUGAAACAGGAUACUCAUUACGUCGUCAUGUGGACAGGACUUCUGAAGGUGUUCUUCGGAAUAGAAAGUCACACCAUUAUAAGAAACAUUACCCUAAUGAGGACGCCCCUAAAUCGGGUACUAGUUGCAGCUCUCGCUGUUCAAGUUCCAGACAGGAUUCUGAGAGUGCAAGGCCAGAAUCUGAAACAGAAGAUGUGUUAUGGGAAGACUUGUUACAUUGUGCAGAAUGCCAUUCAUCUUGUACCAGUGAGACAGAUGUGGAAAAUCCUCAGAUUAAUCCGUGUGUGAAAAAAGAAUAUAGAGACGACCCUUUUCAUCAGGUGAACAGCCAUAUACCAGGAAUAGGAUACCAGAUUUUUGGAAAUGCAAUCUCUCUCAUACUGGGUUUAACUCCAUUUGUUUUCCGACUCUCUCAAGCUACAGACUUGGAACAACUCACAGCACAUUCUGCUUCAGAACUUUAUGUGAUUGCAUUUGGUUCUAAUGAAGAUGUCAUAGUUCUUUCUAUGGUUAUAAUAAGUUUUGUGGUUCGUGUGUCUCUUGUGUGGAUUUUCUUUUUUUUGCUCUGUGUAGCAGAAAGAACUUAUAAACAGGUGGGUAUAAUGUAGACCUCUGAAUAAGAAUAUUUUAUCGUUUUCAUAAUAUUAAAAGUAUUCCUGAAGUACUUUAUUAUUUCAUUAUAUCAUUUUUACCUAAUUAUUUUUUAUUUUGCUUUUGUAGUACCUAACCAAAUAAAAUCUUAACAAUUCA